CCUACGGGAGGCAGCAGUGAGGAAUAUUGGUCAAUGGGCGCGAGCCUGAACCAGCCAAGUAGCGUGAAGGAUGACUGCCCUACGGGUUGUAAACUUCUUUUAUAAAGGAAUAAAGUGAGGCACGUGUGCCUUUUUGUAUGUACUUUAUGAAUAAGGAUCGGCUAACUCCGUGCCAGCAACCGCGGUAAUACGGAGGGUCCGAGCGUUAUCCGGAUUUAUUGGGUUUAAAGGGAGCGUAGAUGGGAUGUUAAGUCAGUUGUGAAGGCUUCGGGCUCAACCGUAAAAUUGCAAUUGAUACUGGCAGCCUUGAGUACAUGUGAGGUAGGCGGAAUUCCUGGUGUAGCGGUGAAAUGCUUAGAUAUCACGAAGAACACCGAUUGCGAAGGCAGCCUACUAAACUGCCACUGACAUUGAUGCUCGAAAGUGUGGGUAUCAAACAGGAUUAGAUACCCGUGUAGUC
This 460-nucleotide ribosomal RNA is filed under the name uncultured bacterium. RNAcentral describes it as "partial 16S ribosomal RNA". It matches the Rfam family "Bacterial small subunit ribosomal RNA", at positions 338 to 795 of the family's 1533-position model. The record is from RNAcentral.